GGAUGUGAGUGCAACCUGGUUGCAACAUUUAUCACUCCACUGGUUACAGGGUUGGCCCAGCUGAUGUGGCUGGCUAAGCAGGUGUCCCCUUCCUUCCUCGAUGCUCUGCGUAUCCCUCCUGAAGCUCCACCUGUGGCUGACUGAAGAGGAUGCCUUUCUCGACAGAGGACCAUUCUUUGGUCUGGGAUAUAUGAGGAGCUGGGCUCUCCUGCUAGAACCUCCAAGUAGUCCUAAGAGGAAACAGUAUGGCCUGCAUCUGUGGGUGGCUGGAACAAACUGCUGGGGCCUAGGAGGGUAGUCCCCUCCCCCA
RNAcentral lists this small nuclear RNA (310 nucleotides) under Chinchilla lanigera (long-tailed chinchilla). Its description in RNAcentral is "7SK RNA (ENSCLAG00000022068.1)". It matches the Rfam family "7SK RNA". Rfam says of the family: 7SK was discovered as an abundant small nuclear RNA in the mid-70s but a possible function has only recently been suggested. Two independent studies have found that 7SK RNA binds the CDK9/cyclin T complex (known as elongation factor P-TEFb). The record is from Rfam by way of RNAcentral. Lineage: Eukaryota; Metazoa; Chordata; Mammalia; Rodentia; Chinchillidae.